AUGGAGGUAGUAGUGGUUUUUCUACACUGCAUUAUGUGUGGAAGUCAUGUUGUGAAGAAUAGAACCAAACUGACGCUUAACCCAUUUAUGGUUGCGAUCCACCUUCUGGUGAAGACUUAUCAGCAGUUCACGAUCAGUCAGCACACGAGGAGUAGUAUCUUGAGGACUUGUCUGGGUAGCAUUGACAGCAGUAUCAUGAGUGCCAGAGUCAUCAUUGGUGGAGUAAGAUGCAGCUUUGCGGAACUGACCAUCCAAUGGACGGAUGCCUUCAUCGAUCACGGCUGGGGACUUGCCCUUCUCAUCACAUGA
RNAcentral lists this ribosomal RNA (309 nucleotides) under Triticum aestivum (bread wheat). Its description in RNAcentral is "partial small subunit ribosomal RNA". Lineage: Eukaryota; Viridiplantae; Streptophyta; Magnoliopsida; Poales; Poaceae. The record is from RNAcentral.